Molecule: long non-coding RNA, 1346 nt
Organism: Photinus pyralis (common eastern firefly)
Lineage: Eukaryota; Metazoa; Arthropoda; Insecta; Coleoptera; Lampyridae
Exons: 3
Source: RefSeq, a predicted model, not a curated record
UUCGUAAUUUUUAGUGCUAUCAAAAAUAAUAUGUGCCUGUCAUGUGCUCUGUUUGGGUUAAACUUAAAAUUAAAAACAUUCGCUCAGGAAAAUAAAAAAUUGGCAAUUUCAUGGGAAAAUGUUUAUUACAAAAGUACUUGCAGAAUAAUCUUCCGUUUUCAAAAUAAGUGUUAUACGAUAUCAGCUAAGAAAGUAACCGGACCUAACCUCAUUAUUUAAAUAGAACACCCUGUAUAUUUUAAACUAAAAAGAUAAGCAUAUUAAAUUCUCUCUGUAAAAAUAUCACACUAGGGAUGACAUUAAAAAAAGACAAGUGACCCAAAAAAUUUCCAAGAUUUAAAAAAAAAAUUUAAAAGGUUCAUAUGAUUUAGACAUUUUUAAUUUUUUGAAAAAUCUUUCGUAUUUUAACCGCGCUCUGCAGUCGAUGUGACCACUUUUCUGUGGUUACCUUAACUGCGGCUCGCGUGAUUGAGGUAGCAGACUCGUCUGCCAUUUUGGAACCUACUGACAGGCCAAAUCUAUGCACAAAAAACUGGUUAAGGUCUUACCUUUAUUUUGCGAUGUGGCGCUGGCGUCCAGAUUUGUUACGCGACGAUGUUCUGUUGCAUGUGUGCGUCCAGCUUAAGAGGUGUUGAUAUUUGCGACGAUUGUGGGUCAUGAUUUCGUGUAUACUACGCAUGUGAACUUUCCUUUCGUGAAAUACGACGGCCGCAAAUCUGCUACGGUGUUUCAUUCCAUUCCAGUGUGGGUAGCUACCAGAGGAGGUUCACAAAAAGGGUACUCGAAACAAUUCCUUCCUCAGCGAUGAAAAACGUUAAAAUAAAGAAGAUUCGAACAGUUUCUCGUGCUGGGACGAUCUACUCCGAAGGUCGUUCGAUUCUCUUUUGAGGCCCACGAUUAAAAUCACCAACGAUAAAUGAAUGUGCUCGAAUGGAGGCAUCAAAAUUGCGGGAAGCCCAUAAAGGUACUGGCCAAAUUUUCGGACCUCGUAUUUCAGAGAACGGAGAAGAGUGGACGAGGACUGUAACAGCUAUACCCCAAAGGUACCGUGGUUCGAGAAUAUAGAUUCUUUUUUGAGGGUCGUUGACCUGCGGACGAACUUCGAAUGGCCCGCGCAGACAUGUUUUAAAAUUCACCAAAUUUGGUUCCAAUCGGUUCAGCCGUUUAGCUGGAAAUGGGAGUUUGACUCAUUUCCGCAUGCACGAUUGUACCGAUAACUGUUGGUUUCAACUUGACCGUGCACUCUUGCACAACGGCAUAAUCGUACGAGAAUACCAAUCGGGAAAUUUCCCGGAAAAUGGGCAAGUGCACCAUCCUGUUGAAAACAGCAGUGUCCAAUUUUUGUU